UAAAUUUUAUUAUAAUAAAUAUCAGAAACGCAGAGAGCGUGUGGUUUUCUCCGAAGCUUUGUUGGCGGCAAAGCAAAUCUGCAUUGCGAUGGCGCCUCCGAAGCUCUUCGUCUUGGCGCUUUCAGUAACCCUAAUUCUGGCCCUCGCCGGUGCCGAAGCCGAUGUUUCCAUCGAAGGAAGAACCAAAGAGCCUGAUGCCUCCGCUUUCAAGAUCCAAUUAGAUCAACUCUAUUCUAAGAUCCAAAGUCUCGAAUCUCAAAUCAGUGAAAAGUCUGAGGAAGUGAAGAACAAGGACGAAAUUGUAGCAGAAAAAGAAAAAAUCAUUGAAGAGAGAUCGUUAACCAUAAAAUCCUUGCAGAAUGAAAUUGCUUCUCUCCAGAAAAAAGGGUCGUUGGAUGCCGAGGAGCAGGUUGGAAAGGCUCAUGCACGUGCUGGUGAACUACAGAAGCAGGUGGACAAGCUUCAAAGGGAACUAGAGACACAAAACAAGGAGAAAGUGAACUGGGAAACUCGAGUACUUCAGUCAGAGAAAAAGAUUCAUGACUUGAACUCAAAAUUAGAAGAUAUUCAAAAGAUAAAUGAGGAACAGAAGGCAAAAAUUCGUAAAACUGAACGUGCUCUUAAAGUGGCUGAGGAAGAAAUGGUGAAUGCAAAGUUUGAGGCAGCUGCCAUAGAAAAACAGCUGAGGGAGACCCAUGGUGCUUGGCUUCCACCUUGGCUUGCUGUACACUAUAUUCACAGUAAGUCCUAUCUUGAGGCUCAUUGGAACAAACAUGGGAAACCUGCCUUUGAAACCUUUACUCAAAAGGCCCUAGAGAAAAAGGCACAAGCUGGAAAGUGGGCCGAGCCUCAUGUGGAAACCAUUAAAACUAAAUGGAUCCCGACUGUAAAAGAACACUGGUCUGUUGUGAAAACAAAUGCUGAACCUCAUGUGCAAUUGGUGACCACGAAAACAGUUGAAGUUUACAAGGCAUCAAAGAAUGCUAUUGCUCCCCACUUAAGCAAGGCAAAAGAAUUUGUAGAUCCUUAUUAUCAGGGAGCUAGAAAGUUCAGCAAGCCAUACAUUGAUCAGGUUGCUAUUGCAGCUAAACCUCAUGUUGACAAGGUACAAGCGGUUUUGAAGCCCUACACAAAGGUGGUUGUUCAUGCUUAUGGGAAGUUUUUGGAAUCAGCUACUACAUAUCAUCGCCAGGUCCAAGCUACUGUCCAAGAGACUCUGAAAAAGCACGACCUUACUAGACCUCUUGCUACUAAAGAGUUGGAAUGGUUUGCGAUAUUGUCAAUUUGCACUCUUGCAGGCCUCUGCCCUUUUAGCUUUACCAAUUAUUUUUGUGGCUAGAGUGUUUUCAGCUGUUUUCUGCAGCAAAAAAGUGAAUAAACCUGCUCGACAUGGACACAGUCACCAUGCACGACGUAAAGCUAAGCGAGGGCAUCCAGACAAAGACAAGCAAACAGCAUGAAGUUCGUUCCUGAUUAUUUUUUCCUGGAAAGAAAUUUAGAUAAUUUUUUCUGUUUGCAUGGGCUUAUUGAGGACUAUAUAUUUCCUGUCGUGUGGGGUUUUGAACAUUUUGCUUCUCUUUUUCUGGGUGAGGUAACUUAGGAUAUUUCACUGUAGAGUUGGGCACACAGUAUGGUUAGGUGUUGAUGUAUUAUGACUGUGUUAUAUUUGUUAUUAGACCUUGCACUCCCUUUUUUGCCGGUUUUAUUUUCUUAUAUUCUUGACAUAGUAAAAAUGUUUCCACUUGAUGUAUGUUUAUUAGAAUCAGAAUCUGCUUAUUGCGGUUGUCUGUGGAACUUGACAUUUAUUACUAAAAGAAACUAAUUCAUGGGUGGUUCUUCAUUUUU
Molecule: non-coding RNA, 1845 nt
Organism: Cajanus cajan (pigeon pea)
Lineage: Eukaryota; Viridiplantae; Streptophyta; Magnoliopsida; Fabales; Fabaceae
Source: RefSeq, a predicted model, not a curated record